This 572-nucleotide ribosomal RNA is filed under the name Mertensophryne anotis (Chirinda forest toad). Its description in RNAcentral is "Stephopaedes anotis partial 16S ribosomal RNA". It matches the Rfam family "Bacterial large subunit ribosomal RNA", at positions 1837 to 2613 of the family's 2925-position model. Lineage: Eukaryota; Metazoa; Chordata; Amphibia; Anura; Bufonidae. The record is from RNAcentral.
GUUAAACCAUAAGAGGUCCAGCCUGCCCAGUGACCCUGUUCAACGGCCGCGGUAUCCUAACCGUGCGAAGGUAGCGUAAUCACUUGUUCUUUAAUUGUGGACUAGUAUGAAUGGCACCACGAAGGCUAUACUGUCUCCUUUUUCUAAUCAGUGAAACUAAUUUCCCCGUGAAGAAGCAGGGAUAAUAAUAUAAGACGAGAAGACCCUAUGGAGCUUCAAACAAUAUAGCAAUUAUUGUAAAAUUAUAAGCUUCUGAACCCCUAAAUAUUAAAAUUUUAUGACUAUAAGUUUUCGGUUGGGGUGACCACGGAGAACAACAUAACCUCCACGCUGAAAGAAUUACUUCUAAACUAAGAACCACCCGUCUAAGUAUCAAUACAUUGACACUCAUUGACCCAAUACACUUGAUCAACGAACCAAGUUACCCUAGGGAUAACAGCGCAAUCCACUUCAAGAGCCCAUAUCGACAAGUGGGUUUACGACCUCGAUGUUGGAUCAGGGUAUCCUAGUGGUGCAGCCGCUACUAAAGGUUCGUUUGUUCAACGAUUAAAACCCUACGUGAUCUGAGUUCA